GACGAACGCUGGCGGCGUGCUUAACACAUGCAAGUCGACCGGAAAGGCCCUGCUUUUGUGGGGUGCUCGAGUGGCGAACGGGUGAGUAACCCGUUAGUAACCUGCCCUUGACUUUGGGAUAACUUCAGGAAACUGGGGCUAAUUACGGGUAGGAGCUUCUGCCUGCUUGUGGGGGUUGGAAAGUUUCGGCGGUCGGUGAUGUAAUCGCGGCUUAUCACCUUGUUGGUGGGGUAGUUGCGUACCAAGUCUUUGACGGGUAGCUGGCCUGAGAGGGUGACAGGCGACACUGGGACUGAGAGAGGCACCAGAAUCGUAUGUGGGGCAGAGGUGGGGAACAUUGCGCAAUAGGGGCAAGCGUGAGGCAGAAACGCCGCGUGCGGGAUAAUGGGAUUUGGGGGGUAAACAGCUUUUUAAUGUGACAAAGAGGGAGUGACGGUAAUGUGUAAAGAAGCACCGGCUAACUACGUG
Molecule: ribosomal RNA, 468 nt
Filed under: uncultured bacterium
Lineage: Bacteria
Description: partial 16S ribosomal RNA
Rfam family: Bacterial small subunit ribosomal RNA
Source: RNAcentral